UACGUAGGGCGCAAGCGUUUGUCCGGAAUUAUUGGGCGUAAAGAGCUCGUAGGCGGCUUGUCACGUCGGGUGUGAAAGCCCGGGGCUUAACCCCGGGUCUGCAUUCGAUACGGGCUGGCUAGAGUGUGGUAGGGGAGAUCGGAAUUCCUGGUGUAGCGGUGAAAUGCGCAGAUAUCUGGAGGAACACCGGUGGCGAAGGCGGCAUCCUGGACCGGCAUUGACGCUGAGGCGCGAAAGCGUGGGGAGCGAACAGG
RNAcentral lists this ribosomal RNA (254 nucleotides) under uncultured bacterium. RNAcentral describes it as "partial 16S ribosomal RNA". It matches the Rfam family "Bacterial small subunit ribosomal RNA", at positions 524 to 776 of the family's 1533-position model. The record is from RNAcentral.